GAUUCUGGCUCAGGAUGAACGCUAGCUACAGGCUUAACACAUGCAAGUCGAGGGGCAGCAUUGGAGUAGCAAUACUCAGAUGGCGACCGGCGCACGGGUGAGUAACACGUAUCCAACCUGCCGCUUACUCGGGGAUAGCCUUUCGAAAGAAAGAUUAAUACCCGAUGGUAUAAAGAGUUCGCAUGUUCUCUUUAUUAAAGAAUUUCGGUAAGCGAUGGGGAUGCGUUCCAUUAGAUAGUUGGCGGGGUAACGGCCCACCAAGUCUACGAUGGAUAGGGGUUCUGAGAGGAAGGUCCCCCACAUUGGAACUGAGACACGGUCCAAACUCCUACGGGAGGCAGCAGUGAGGAAUAUUGGUCAAUGGACGAGAGUCUGAACCAGCCAAAGUAGCGUGAAGGAUGACUGCCCUAUGGGUUGUAAACUUCUUUUAUAAGGGAAUAAAGUGAGGGACGUGUCCCUUUUUGUAUGUACCUUAUGAAUAAGGAUCGGCUAACUCCGUGCCAGCCGCCGC
Molecule: ribosomal RNA, 511 nt
Filed under: uncultured bacterium
Lineage: Bacteria
Description: bacterial SSU rRNA
Rfam family: Bacterial small subunit ribosomal RNA
Source: RNAcentral